GAGGAAUAUUGGUCAAUGGACGCGAGUCUGAACCAGCCAAGUAGCGUGAAGGAUGAAGGCCCUAUGGGUCGUAAACUUCUUUUAUAGGGGAAUAAAGUGCGGAACGUGUUCCGUUUUGUAUGUACCCUACGAAUAAGGAUCGGCUAACUCCGUGCCAGCAGCCGCGGUAAUACGGAGGAUCCAAGCGUUAUCCGGAUUUAUUGGGUUUAAAGGGAGCGUAGGUGGAUAUAUAAGUCAGUUGUGAAAGUUUGCGGCUCAACCGUAAAAUUGCAGUUGAUACUGUAUGUCUUGAGUGUACAAGAGGUGGGCGGAAUUCGUGGUGUAGCGGUGAAAUGCUUAGAUAUCACGAAGAACUCCGAUUGCGAAGGCAGCUCACUAGGGUACAACUGACACUGAGGCUCGAAAGUGUGGGUAUCAAACAGGA
Molecule: ribosomal RNA, 424 nt
Filed under: uncultured bacterium
Lineage: Bacteria
Description: bacterial SSU rRNA
Rfam family: Bacterial small subunit ribosomal RNA
Source: RNAcentral